AUGCCUACAUCAAUCUCAAUAUUUGAUGCUAAACUCCAAACAUCAUUUGGAACUAGAAAUUGCUCUCCUGUAACACAUCAGUUCCACUGUCUGAGCUUAUACUGUGGUCCUAAGCUGGAAACGAUGAAGAGAGACAGAGACAGACAAGAGAGAGAUGGAGAAAGCCUACAUUUCCAUAUAAAGUCUUGCCCAAGGUCUACCACAAAGCCAGAAGUUUAGGUAUUUCAUGUUGCUGUGUAACAGGUCAUGUCAAGUUGUUUGAAAUGUUGGGAGCAGCUGUGCUUUGGAGUCAAAGGAUCUGUUUGUCAAUUCCAUCUCUGUUGGGUUGGGGUUGGGGCUGGGGGCUGAGAGUUUGACAGUGCUGGUGCAGAACACAUGUCAGAAUUCAAAUUCUGCCUCAGGCACUUAACAGAUAUGUGACCCUGGCCAAGCCACACAAACCUCCCUGAACCUCAUUUGCCUCCUAUAGAAAAGGGAGAUAAUAGUGUCAACCUCACAGGGUUGUCACGAUCAAAGGAGAAAUCAGAGUAAUCACAUGUAUUAAGCACCUACUCUUUGCCAGGAAUCAUGCUAAACUCUGGGGAUACAAAGAAGAGGGAAAAGGCAAUCCGUGCCCUCGAGGAGCUUACAGUUUUAAACAAAUUUUAUACAGAGCAAGCUAUAGACAAGAUAAUUAGAAAAUAAUAAAUAGAAGGGAAAGCAUUUGAACUAAGAGGGGUUGGAAAAGGCUUCCUGUAGGAGUUAGGAUUUAAAAUUGGGACUUAAAGGAAGCCAGAGAGGUCAUGACUCAGAGUUGAGGAGAGAAAGUGUUCCAGGGAUCGGGACAGCCAGAGAAAAUGCCUGAAGUGGAGAUAUGGAGUGUCUUGCUCAUGGGACAGCUAGGAGGUCAGUGUCACUGGAGGGAUGUAAAGUGCCAUGGGCUAAUACUACUUUUAUAAUUUGCAAUGAAAUGUAAGUGUGAUGGAAGCUACCCAGGCAUCCAAGUCAAUCUCUGGACCAUGAAAUCAGCAGGCUAUGUUACAACACACUCAAUUCUUUAAAUAAUCAGAUAAUUUCCAAAGGUGAGAGCAUAAGAAUAGGAACAGAGGGAGAUUGGGAAAGGGAGGGUGUCACUCAAUAGCCUCAGGAUGAGAUUAGGAAAGAAGCAUUUCCUCCUUGAAUUCAGACUUCUCUAACCUGAACAUUUUUGGCUAAAGCAUUAAUUGAAUAUGAUGCCAAGGAGCUGGUCUUAUUGGCUAUUCAGCUUCCUUGACCUCCUUUUAUACAAAAGGCCCCAUUGUUCUUUUAUUCAGAGGGGCGAAUAGGGUUCAGUCCAGGGUGUGAAUGGUCCCUGCUUGAUACACUCUUUUGAUCAGAGAAGGGCAAUCCAGCUCUCUCUCUCUCUCUGAUGCUGACAUGGGCUUUCUCAAUAUUUCAACCUCAACGAUAGUCUGAGAUGAGCCCUUGUAUAACCUCUUUGUGGACUUUGUCCUGACAGGCCUGAGGCUUUAUGAAAACCACAGGAUAGUUCUAUUCCAGGGCCUCUCUUACAUAUUUGCAAACUGGAAAGUUUCUGUUUUUCCCUGUGGUCUGGUAUUUGUCUAAGGAGGCUUCACAGCAUGUCAAAUGUCACUUGUAUGUGGAGGCUGCUUGGUCAAG
This is a long non-coding RNA of Sarcophilus harrisii (Tasmanian devil), 1638 nucleotides long. The record is from Ensembl. NCBI's taxonomy places the organism in Eukaryota, Metazoa, Chordata, Mammalia, Dasyuromorphia, Dasyuridae.